UGGGGAAUAUUGCACAAUGGGCGCAAGCCUGAUGCAGCCAUGCCGCGUGUAUGAAGAAGGCCUUCGGGUUGUAAAGUACUUUCAGCGGGGAGGAAGGGAGUAAAGUUAAUACCUUUGCUCAUUGACGUUACCCGCAGAAGAAGCACCGGCUAACUCCGUGCCAGCAGCCGCGGUAAUACGGAGGUUGCAAGCGUUAAUCGGAAUUACUGGGCGUAAAGCGCACGCAGGCGGUUUGUUAAGUCAGAUGUGAAAUCCCCGGGCUCAACCUGAGAACUGCAUCUGAUACUGGCAAGCUUGAGUCUCGUAGAGGGGGGUAGAAUUCCAGGUGUAGCGGUGAAAUGCGUAGAGAUCUGGAGGAAUACCGGUGGCGAAGGCGGCCCCCUGGACGAAGACUGACGCUCAGGUGCGAAAGCGUGGGGAGCAAACAGG
Molecule: ribosomal RNA, 429 nt
Filed under: Chloroflexota bacterium
Lineage: Bacteria; Bacillati; Chloroflexota
Description: Chloroflexi bacterium partial 16S ribosomal RNA
Rfam family: Bacterial small subunit ribosomal RNA
Source: RNAcentral